UGGACCAUCAUGUGAUCUUAC
Molecule: non-coding RNA, 21 nt
Filed under: Caenorhabditis elegans
Lineage: Eukaryota; Metazoa; Nematoda; Chromadorea; Rhabditida; Rhabditidae
Source: RNAcentral